This 232-nucleotide unclassified non-coding RNA is filed under the name uncultured fungus. RNAcentral's name for it is "sequence contains ITS1". Lineage: Eukaryota; Fungi. The record is from RNAcentral.
GUAUUGUAUUGCGUUAAACGCGGUGCGCAUUCCAUAAGACUUUGUUACAGUGUGUGUGUAAAAACAUAGGACCACAGCAAGGGGACAGUGUCCCCCAGGCCAUAGAACUACAGAGGGUGCACAGGUGUGAGUGGAUGUGUAAACAGAGCGUGCACGUGCCCCCCUUCGAGGGCCAGCAACAACUCGUGUCGACAAUUCGGUAAUGAUCCUUCCGCAGGUUCACCUACGGAAA